CAGCAGCCACGGGAAUACAGAGGGUGCAAGCGUUAAUCGGAAUUACUGGGCGUAAAGCGCGCUUAGGUGGUUUGUUAAGUUGGAUGUGAAAGCCCCGGGCUCAACCUGGGAACUGCAUCCAAAACUGGCAAGCUAGAGUACGGUAGAGGGUGGUGGAAUUUCCUGUGUAGCGGUGAAAUGCGUAGAUAUAGGAAGGAACACCAGUGGCGAAGGCGACCACCUGGACUGAUACUGACACUGAGGUGCGAAAGCGUGGGGAGCAAACAGGAUUAGAGACCCCAGUAGUCCCUGUCUCUUAUAC
This 301-nucleotide ribosomal RNA is filed under the name uncultured bacterium. RNAcentral describes it as "partial 16S ribosomal RNA". It matches the Rfam family "Bacterial small subunit ribosomal RNA", at positions 509 to 807 of the family's 1533-position model. The record is from RNAcentral.